Molecule: transfer RNA, 71 nt
Filed under: Juglanconis juglandina
Lineage: Eukaryota; Fungi; Ascomycota; Sordariomycetes; Diaporthales; Juglanconidaceae
Also listed under: 2 other names
Description: tRNA-Arg
Rfam family: tRNA
About the family: Transfer RNA (tRNA) molecules are approximately 80 nucleotides in length. Their secondary structure includes four short double-helical elements and three loops (D, anti-codon, and T loops). Further hydrogen bonds mediate the characteristic L-shaped molecular structure. tRNAs have two regions of fundamental functional importance: the anti-codon, which is responsible for specific mRNA codon recognition, and the 3' end, to which the tRNAs corresponding amino acid is attached (by aminoacyl-tRNA synthetases). tRNAs cope with the degeneracy of the genetic code in two manners: having more than one tRNA (with a specific anti-codon) for a particular amino acid; and 'wobble' base-pairing, i.e. permitting non-standard base-pairing at the 3rd anti-codon position.
Source: RNAcentral
AGUGCAUUAGUUUAAUGGUAGAAGGUUAUGCUUCGGACAUUAUGGUAUGAGUUCGAAUUUUAUAUGCACUU